CGGCGCACGGGUGCGUAACGCGUAUGCAACCUACCUCUUACUGGGAGAUAGCCCGGAGAAAUUCGGAUUAAUAUCCCAUAGUACUAUUUGGUGGCAUCACUAGAUAGUUAAAGAUUUAUUGGUAAGAGAUGGGCAUGCGUCCAAUUAGCUAGUUGGUGAGGUAAUGGCUCACCAAGGCUAUGAUUGGUAGGGGGUCUGAGAGGAUGAUCCCCCACACUGGUACUGAGAUACGGACCAGACUCCUACGGGAGGCAGCAGUAGGGAAUAUUGGUCAAUGGGCGAGAGCCUGAACCAGCCAUGCCGCGUGCAGGAUGAAGGCCUUCUGGGUUGUAAACUGCUUUUGAUCGGGAACAAAAAGACCAUGCGUGGUAAAUUGAGUGUACCGAUAGAAUAAGCACCGGCUAACUCCGUGCCAGCAGCCGCGGUAAUACGGAGGGUGCAAGCGUUGUCCGGAUUUAUUGGGUUUAAAGGGUGCGUAGGCGGCCUUAUAAGUCAGUGGUGAAAUACGACAGCUCAACUGUCGAACUGCCAUUGAUA
Molecule: ribosomal RNA, 537 nt
Filed under: uncultured Bacteroidota bacterium
Lineage: Bacteria; Pseudomonadati; Bacteroidota
Description: bacterial SSU rRNA
Rfam family: Bacterial small subunit ribosomal RNA
Source: RNAcentral